This 429-nucleotide ribosomal RNA is filed under the name Chloroflexota bacterium. Its description in RNAcentral is "Chloroflexi bacterium partial 16S ribosomal RNA". It matches the Rfam family "Bacterial small subunit ribosomal RNA", at positions 355 to 776 of the family's 1533-position model. The record is from RNAcentral. Lineage: Bacteria; Bacillati; Chloroflexota.
UGGGGAAUAUUGCACAAUGGGCGCAAGCCUGAUGCAGCCAUGCCGCGUGUGUGAAGAAGGCCUUCGGGUUGUAAAGCACUUUCAGCGGGGAGGAAGGCGAUAAGGUUAAUAACCUUGUCGAUUGACGUUACCCGCAGAAGAAGCACCGGCUAACUCCGUGCCAGCAGCCGCGGUAAUACGGAGGGUGCAAGCGUUAAUCGGAAUUACUGGGCGUAAAGCGCACGCAGGCGGUCUGUCAAGUCGGAUGUGAAAUCCCCGGGCUCAACCUGAGAAGUGCAUUCGAAACUGGCAGGCUAGAGUCUUGUAGAGGGAGGUAGAAUUCCAGGUGUAGCGAUGAAAUGCGUAGAGAUCUGGAAGAACACCGGUGGCGAAGGCGGCCCGCUGGACAAAGACUGACGCUCAGGUGCGAAAGCGUGGGGAGCAAACAGG